UACGUAGGUGCCAAGCGUUGUCCGGAAUUAUUGGGCGUAAAGGGAGCGCAGGCGGUGGGCAUAGUCGGAUGUGAAAGCCCCCGGCUUAACCGUGGAAGGGCAUUGGAAACUGUCCAACUUGAAUGCAGAAGAGGGAAGUGGAAUUCCAUGUGUAGCGGUGAAAUGCGUAGAUAUAUGGAGGAACACCAGUGGCGAAGGCGACUUACUGGACUGUGAUUGACGCUGAGGCGCGAAAGCGUGGGUAGCGAACAGG
Molecule: ribosomal RNA, 253 nt
Filed under: uncultured bacterium
Lineage: Bacteria
Description: partial 16S ribosomal RNA
Rfam family: Bacterial small subunit ribosomal RNA
Source: RNAcentral